Molecule: long non-coding RNA, 229 nt
Filed under: Homo sapiens (human)
Lineage: Eukaryota; Metazoa; Chordata; Mammalia; Primates; Hominidae
Description: HSALNT0400749
Source: RNAcentral
CUGUCUCUUUCUUUCCUUUCUUUUCUUCUUAGAGACAGGUUCCCACUCUGUCAUCCAGGCUGGAGUACAGUGGUGCAAUGAUAGCUCACUACGACCUCAAACUCCUGUGCUCAAGUGAUUCUCUCGCCUCAGCCUUCUGAAUAGUUGGGACCACAGAUGUGCGGUGACCAAGUUCUGACAAUGGGGAUGAAGAUAACACCAUGAAGGAUACAGAGAAACAAGAUGAAAG